AAUUGACCUCGGAUCAGGUAGGGAUACCCGCUGAACUUAA
Molecule: ribosomal RNA, 40 nt
Filed under: Cetrelia braunsiana
Lineage: Eukaryota; Fungi; Ascomycota; Lecanoromycetes; Lecanorales; Parmeliaceae
Also listed under: 8 other names
Description: partial 28S ribosomal RNA
Source: RNAcentral